Molecule: long non-coding RNA, 1150 nt
Organism: Labeo rohita (rohu)
Lineage: Eukaryota; Metazoa; Chordata; Actinopteri; Cypriniformes; Cyprinidae
Exons: 4
Source: RefSeq, a predicted model, not a curated record
ACCUGAAACUGAUUUGCCUUGGUGAUCUUUUCUGAGUGUUUCUUCGUGGAUUUUUAUUCUGUCUGUGACCUGGAUUGUUUAUGGGACUGUGAUUCUCUGCCACCUGCCUUGACUAAGAUCUGGAUUUUGAUUCUGUUUGUUCUCUGCUUGCUCCUAUCAGUUUCUGUGAUAAAUAAACUGCACAUGGAUCCUUACUCAGCAGACUCAUCAUUACAAAACCCAAGACAACUGUGAAACACACAAACACACAUCCUCACUCACACAUGCUAAGUGGAGUCACACGGCAGAGUAUUUUUCAUCUCAGUCAUUAUAGACUGUCUCUACAUUAUAGACAUUUCUAUUUUUCUGAACUGCGGAAGAAAAUGUUUUAUUCAUUUAUGUUUUGCUGUUUGUGCCUGGCUGCGUUUGGUGAUUCAGAUACAGUGAAGAUGGUGAAGGAGGGAGAUUCAGUGACUCUAGAAUCUGGUGUUACUGAAUUACAGACAGAUUGUGUGAUGACAUGGACAUUUGAACGUCCAGAGAUUCUUAUAGCUAAAAUCAAUAAAGAGGCUGAAACCUUCAACAUAUACAAUAAUGUUCUUGAUGGACGAUUCAGAGACAGAUUGAAGCUGGAUCAUCAGACUGGAUCUCUGACCAUCACAAACACCAGAACCACAGACUCUGGACUUUAUCAAUUAACCAUCAGCAGCGACAAAGAAAAAAAAAUACAGAUUUACUGUUACUGCCUAUGCUCAUCUGCCUGUUCCUGUCAUUAUCAGACACUCUUUACAAUUUUCCUCAUCAUCAUUAGGAUUAUCAGUGUCCAAUUGUUCAUUGCUGUGUUCAGUGGUGAAUGUGGGUAAUGUGACUCUCUCCUGGUACAAAGGAAACAGUUUAUUGUCCAGCAUCAGUGUGUCUGAUCUCAGCAUCAGUCUCUCUCUACCUCUGGAGGUGGAAUAUCAGGAUAAAAACACCUACAGCUGUGUGAUCAACAAUCCCAUCAGCAACCAGACCAGACAACUGGACAUCAGUGAACUCUGUCACACAUAUUCAGCUCAUCUGCCUGUUCCUGUCAUUUUCAGAGACUCUUCACAAUUUUCCUCAUCAUCAUUAGGAUUAUCAGUGUCCAGUUGUUCAUUGUUGUGUUCAGUGGUGAAUGUGAGUGAUGUGA